CAGUAGCCGCGGUAAUACGGAGGGGGCUAGCGUUGUUCGGAAUUACUGGGCGUAAAGCGCACGUAGGCGGCUUGGUAAGUUAGAGGUGAAAGCCCGGAGCUCAACUCCGGAAUUGCCUUUAAGACUGCCGAGCUAGCAGGUGAGAGAGGUAAGUGGAAUUCCGAGUGUAGAGGUGAAAUUCGUAGAUAUUUGGAAGAACACCAGUGGCGAAGGCGGCUUACUGGCUCAUACUGGACGCUGAGGUGCGAAAGCGUGGGGAGCAAACAGGAUUAGAUACCCGCGUAGUCCCUGUCUCUUAUAC
This 301-nucleotide ribosomal RNA is filed under the name uncultured bacterium. Its description in RNAcentral is "partial 16S ribosomal RNA". It matches the Rfam family "Bacterial small subunit ribosomal RNA", at positions 509 to 807 of the family's 1533-position model. The record is from RNAcentral.